This 465-nucleotide ribosomal RNA is filed under the name uncultured bacterium. Its description in RNAcentral is "partial 16S ribosomal RNA". It matches the Rfam family "Bacterial small subunit ribosomal RNA", at positions 338 to 795 of the family's 1533-position model. The record is from RNAcentral.
CCUACGGGAGGCUGCAGUGGGGAAUAUUGCGCAAUGGGCGAAAGCCUGACGCAGCGACGCCGCGUGAGGGAUGAAGGUCUUCGGAUCGUAAACCUCUGUCAGCAGGGAAGAACGGUCACUGUGCUAAUCAGCAGUGAAUUGACGGUACCUGCAAAGGAAGCACCGGCUAACUCCGUGCCAGCAGCCGCGGUAAUACGGCGGGUGCGAGCGUUAAUCGGAAUUAAUGGGCGUAAAGCGCACGUAUGCGGUAUGUCAAGUCAAGGGUGAAAUCCCCACGCUCAACGUGGGAAUUGCCUUUGAAACUGGCAAACUGGAGUGUGUGAGAGGAUAGUGGAAUUCCAGGUGUAGGAGUGAAAUCCGUAGAUAUCUGGAGGAACAUCAGUGGCGAAGGCGACUAUCUGGCACAUAACUGACGCUGAGGAGCGAAAGCGUGGGUAGCAAACAGGAUUAGAUACCCCUGUAGUC